Phacochoerus africanus (Common warthog) is the source of this 613-nucleotide long non-coding RNA. RefSeq lists it as uncharacterized. The record is from RefSeq and is a predicted model, not a curated record. Lineage: Eukaryota; Metazoa; Chordata; Mammalia; Artiodactyla; Suidae. The transcript has 2 exons.
GGAGCCUGAGAUCCCUGGAAGCCUCACCUCCUUACUAUUGGCCGGGGCGGAGGAAGCCCGCCUUCCGGCUGGAGAGCGCAGAGACCACGUUGCCAGAAGACUGGGGGUCUGUGCAGGGCCCCUGCGCUCUCCCCUCCCCUAAUAGGGAACGCGGGGCGGGGCCUGGGGCAGCUGAUCCAGGGUCCCAGCGAGCGAGGGUCCCUGAGGUGCCUGCACCCCCAGGCCAGGUGUAGGACCUACUGGGCGCCCUGCCCCGAGGGAGGGUGCGCGUUCACAUCCUUGUUCAUAUCCUCGCGGGCAGACUUCAGGCGGGAACAAGGCUCUGACUCUGAUUUCCUCUCUAAGGGACCUGGUCCAUCAGAGAAGGCAGGUGUCAGGCCCGCCCGCCGUGCUUCCUGACGCAGCACAAAGAAGGGGAAGCUUGCAUCAUUAAGUUACAGGCUAUGGCAGAUGGCUUGCGGUGUGUAGAGGAGGACGAUGGACAAGGAAUCGACGAGAGAAAAGAGCAGCGCGCAUCCUGGUUCAGCAACUCCAAGUUGCCAUUAAAAGUGUAUAAUUUAACCAGACUCUAUCCUUAAAAAUCCAUGCUCAAUUAAAAGCUGUUUCCAGUCAA